RNAcentral lists this ribosomal RNA (271 nucleotides) under uncultured archaeon. RNAcentral describes it as "partial 16S ribosomal RNA". It matches the Rfam family "Archaeal small subunit ribosomal RNA", at positions 477 to 747 of the family's 1478-position model. The record is from RNAcentral.
CAGCGCCCCGAGUGGCAAUCGCGAUUAUUGGGCCUAAAGCGUCCGUAGCCUGUUUGAUAAGUCUUCUGUGAAAUUGUCGAGCUUAACUCGACAACGUGCAAGAGAUACUGUUAAACUUGGAACCGGGAGGAGUUAGAGGUAUUUUGAGGGGAGCGGUAAAAUGCUAUAAUCCUCGAAGGACCACCUAUGGCGAAGGCAUCUAACUAGAACGGAUUCGACGGUGAGGGACGAAAGCCAGGGGAUCAAACCGGAUUAGAUACCCGAGUAGUCC